GCGAGUAUCGCGGGAGAGGCCCGACUUUCAACAUCCUCCCUGGUGUUUUCCCUCAAAACGGUCAAAACACAGGAGAUGGGAGGAUUUACUAAAACAAAAACAAAUGUUAAAAUCACAGAUAGAUACGUGAGAAAAAAAAACUGUACGAUAACAACGCAUGUUAAUUUUUCAGAAAUAUUGGCACCCCCACAAUGAAUCUUUGGUGAUGUCAGGAUCGUGGAAAUUCUUAACGCUUUGUAGAAGAGCUUCUGUUGCUUCCACCUUUCCUCAUUUGGAUGUAUGUUUUUUAGUAAUUUAUAGAAAGCGCCUGUUAUACGUAUAUGGCCAGGGUUAGGGUUACCUCCUGGCAGAGGCAACCAGAUUUGUGGCAAAAAACAUGCAGAUGUUCAUCACCCAAAGGGAUUUCUAGUUUCACAAACAUUCAGGUGCAUAUACAAGAAAAGAUAUAUUCCUAGAUGUUUACAAACGGACUGAAAGCAGGAGAUCUGGUGUGAUGCAUCUGAGCAUGAAGCCUCUGCAUGUCAACACACCGACACUGGAGACUCCUUCCUUUAGUGAUUAAGAGUUUUAACCCAUUGAUGCGCUCCGUCUGCCCUAUGAGUCCCAGCGGAGGAGCUGUCGCCAUGGAAACGUAUUAGUAGGAGCACGUUAAUUAAAGCAGUGAUUGUCAGCUGCGGUGAGAUGAUGUACUUUAUAUACCCCGUGUCAUUCUAAACACUUUUCCCUUUUUCUGAGCCAGAAUUGUGACAGGUCUAAUACCUGAAAUAUGUGCCCAUCCUUGUUCAUUUGGAAAAAAGCACCGGUGCCACGCCCGGCGUAAUUGUUUUCUCAGAAGUGCAAUCCCUGUUCAUGCCCCAGGCAGGUUGUGUCAAAUGAGAUCAAAGUAUGUUAAUGGUUUCUCUUGCCCUUUGCCUGGAUUUAUACCCUUUACAAGCCAAAUCCUCUGAGAUUUAUGUUAAUGCACUACAUAUCCUCAUGACUUACGGCCAAUUUUGUUUUAUGAGAGUUUGCUAACAAAUUUGCUGAAGUGAAUUGAAGGGAGUGUGAGCUUGCUUCUCUCAGUCUAUCCAAAGUUCUCAAGGACUUUUUCCUCAGGCCCUUAUAUUACCGUGGCUGGAUGUUUACAGGACGUCUCAUGUCCCAGUAUACACCGAAGGCUGCUCUAUGAACAGAGAUCCUGCAGAACCUUUAUUCCCAGUACUGUAUGUUGUGUCAGCGAGCGAACAUUCCACCUGUAAUAAGUCAUGCUGAUGGAACAUAUUUACACGCCCACAAUAACAAUAUCACUUUUGUUCUCGGUGUGGUUCAACAUCAUUCUUUGUUCUAAUUCCCGGUCUAUUCCACACUAUCAAUCCUGUUUCAAACUGAAAAUCCUGGCCCUGGUUUCCAACUGUUGUUUUCAAACAAGAUCCUCCACACAAUCACCACUCCAUCUUCUUUAAUAUCGCAACCAUGAUUCACUCGAUCAUAUUAUUAUGUGUAUUAUUUCCGGAUUUGUUGAACAUUCACGGAUGGCAUGUGCGAUUUCCCUGCUGCUCUAUACCAUCAUUCCUCCUUCUUCUUUCAUGUUGAAACAGAAAAUUCCAGCCCUGGGUAUCUCACAGCAGCUAUUCUAUUCACACAAUGACAAGAUCCUUUCAAUCUGCAUCCGGAGCUCAUUAUUUUCACCUGGACGCUCCAGUUCGUUGAACUCAGCCCUUCACAUUUCUCUGAUGAAAGUAAGAGUACAAUGCUCUUUUCAGGGAAAAGACGGAGGCGAGUGACAGUAGCCCAGCCUUAACACCUCCUCAAACAUCAACAUGCCGAGCAUUUUUAACACUGUUGCUUUAAAUUAGUGCUGCUGAAGAGAGCAGUCUCAGGUAUGGCGACACAUCCAACCUGUUCUGCUAGCAUGGGAAAGUUUCAUGCUAUCACAGGGCAAUGAAAUCCUGGAGAGAAGUGAAAAUCAGCCACAACUUUAUUACCAGAUUCUGGGAUAUAUAGAGAAAACCACAGUGCUAAGCCAUGCUAGACUAUGCUAAUCAUAUUAUGCUAGACAUGUAGUGAAGUUUAGAUAACUAACUUAGUAGCUAAUCAAAGCCAGUGUUGUGGACACAGAAAGUGUAAACUCGUCUGUUCUGUAGAUGUCAGUAAACUCAGUAAACACUGACACUGGAGACUCCUUCCAUUAAUCGUUAAUGACUAAUAAGAGUCCCCUAUUUUUAAUUGUUGUUCAGCAAUCUGUUUAUGUGAGUCAGCGGUUACUAUGGAAACCAUUCGAAGAUACUGUCAGAGCUGAUUAUAGAAAUGUCAGAAAAACUCAACGCUUUGACACUGGAGACUCCUUCCAUUAAUAACUAAUAAACAUCUCCAUUUUUUUUCAACAGAUCAAUCCGUUUAUGUGGUGCUGUGAAUCAGCCGUUACUAUGGAAACCGAAAACCCAUCAAAUUCUGACCAAUCAGAAUCCAGAACGUUGUAGACAAAUAAAAUGCAAAUGAUAUUAAAGGAUAAAGGUUAAAAUAUUAAAGGUUUUGUGUCACUCAGCAGCUUUUAUUAGACCUUCAUUUUCUCACGUUUUCCAUGUUGCUUAAUGUUUAUAGAGGAAACACGGCAGAGCAGGAAUUCUGGGAAAUCUGCCUCUUAUUGGUGCUGCUGUGAAUGUGUGCUGAGGUGCUGAGGGAGACAUGCUGUUCAAACCUGUUGAAUAUUAAGUAAUUAAAUGAAUAAUUUAAAAUGAGGAAUAAUCAAUCUGUUCGUUUUAAUUUCAUUUAACUGGCAUGCUGAACGAGCCUCCAGGGCCUUUGUCCUGAUUUCAGAACAACACUGCUGAGCUGAGAUGAAACCGGAUCAUGUGAUUGGUGUUGAUUAGAUUUUGGCGGAGUUUCUGAUGUCGGGGUGGCGGCUGUUUACUGUCUCCUCAUUAUCUCUCGUGUCAUUAUGUAUUUGUACUUAUUUAUUUUAACAUAACGUCUGAAAUCAUGCAGGGGUUUAAUGAAUGAGUGAAUGAACUAAUUGAUGUAUUUAUUUAUUUAUU
Molecule: long non-coding RNA, 3014 nt
Organism: Hemibagrus wyckioides
Lineage: Eukaryota; Metazoa; Chordata; Actinopteri; Siluriformes; Bagridae
Exons: 4
Source: RefSeq, a predicted model, not a curated record